RNAcentral lists this ribosomal RNA (500 nucleotides) under uncultured bacterium. RNAcentral's name for it is "partial 16S ribosomal RNA". It matches the Rfam family "Bacterial small subunit ribosomal RNA", at positions 30 to 523 of the family's 1533-position model. The record is from RNAcentral.
AUUGAACGCUGGCGGCAUGCCUUACACAUGCAAGUCGAACGGCAGCACGGGAGCAAUCCUGGUGGCGAGUGGCAAACGGGUGAGUAAAGUAUCGGAACGUGCCCAGUCGUGGGGGAUAACGUAGCGAAAGUUACGCUAAUACCGCAUACGAUCUAUGGAUGAAAGCGGGGGAUCGCAAGACCUCGCGCGAUUGGAGCGGCCGAUAUCAGAUUAGGUAGUUGGCGGGGUAAAGGCUCACCAAGCCGACGAUCUGUAGCUGGUCUGAGAGGACGACCAGCCACACUGGGACUGAGACACGGCCCAGACUCCGACGGGAGGCAGCAGUGGGGAAUUUUGGACAAUGGGCGAAAGCCUGAUCCAGCCAUGCCGCGUGCAGGAUGAAGGCCUUCGGGUUGUAAACUGCUUUUGUACGGAACGAAAAGGUUUGGCCUAAUAAGCUGAGCUCAUGACGGUACCGUAAGAAUAAGCACCGGCUAACUACGUGCCAGCCGCCGCCGUAA